AUGCAGGUGAUUAGGGUAAGCUGUCCUAAUAAUUGUGAGGCUUCCCUGGUGGCUCAUGUGGUAAAGAAUCUGCCUGGCAUGUGGGAGACCUGGGUUCGAUCCCUGGGUUGGGAAGAUCCCCUGGAAAUUACUGUGAGAAUAAAAACCAGUGGUCAGGACAGCAGACAAGAGUGUGGGGUCCAAUUCGCGUGGCUAUUGUGUGCCCCGGGAAGGGGGAUCUCUCCUACCUUGGCCAUACUCUCUCAGGGACCCCACACUUGGCAGCCGUCCUUGGAAUCUGAGGAGAUGCACGUACCUUCUUGGCAGGACACUGCAGGGUCCAAGGCUGGAGGAAGAAAGGGGAUGAGUAAGCCAUUCUCGCCCCUCCCUCUGGAGCUAGGAGAGGCCCCCACAGCCCCUCCGUUCUUCCUGUUUCAUCCUCCGUGUCUAAGCCUGAGCUCACCAAGGAAGAGUCGCCUGUCCACACUUCUGCGACUUGGCUCGCAGAGACCAAGAGAAACCAGGAGGCCCCAUCUGGAAGGAGGGGUGCUGUGGGAAUACCAAAGCACCACAUCAUACAAAGUAAACGCUGAAGCAAAAAUACUUUCUGAAUAUAUACUGUACAUCAUGUAAACAAACAUUCAUAAGAAGAAUCAACACAGGCCAAAAUAUCAUUUUCUAGGAAAUCAGAAUCUCCUUUCUUUUAAAUCACACACGCUGAAGAUGCUUUUUGUUAGGAAGAGAAUGGAGCCUGUUCCUGUAUUUGUUUAUGUGCUUAAAUAUCUUGGAAACAAGUAAUUGUUACAUUCAUUUGCUAACGGUUUGUCCUCUUCGUUGGCUGGCUGUUGCAAACAAGGAAUACAGUACUAUUUCAGUACCUAUGUUUCAUGUAAAUACUAGCUAUGUAAUAUAUAAUGAACUCAUUUUUAUCAGUCCAUAUUAAUAAUAUAAAUAGAUUCAAUGAAGCAGUGAAUUUAAAAAUUUGUGCCGGGGAAACUAGUUGAUAAUUUGUUUCCAAUAAGGCUAGUAGCAAGAUAAUUACUACAAAGUUAGUCUGAGCUAGUAGUAAACCCCUGAUUUAGCGAGCUGAAUCAAAGUCUGAAGUUAGGUCAUUUUAUUUCCUCUAUUACUGUGCAAAUCUAGAAUUUCCUAAGUAAGAGAGAGUGCUGGCAGUCUUGCAAUAAGCAAAUGAAAUACUGCUUAGGUUUCUGAAAUGCAGAGACACUAUAUGAAGAAAUCUGAAUGUCUUAAUGAUGGUGUCACAGCAGUGACCUUAGGAUUUCCUAAAUGAAUCAGAAACUAAGAAAGACAAUUCAAUCAUCAAUCAAAAGCCUACAUGUGAAGCAAAAAAAAUAAAAGAUACAAAAUCAAAGAUGCAUUUUCUGCUAUGACCGUAUGCAGCAGUUUCAAGCUGUAUGUCAACCUUGUGUACCAGCAGCAGCCCCCUCUAACAGGAAAAAAAGCUUAGUCAUGACUGUCCCUCUCUUUUCAAAGCUUCCAGUCUUUGAAGGAGCGCAUUUCCAAAUGCUUCCCGGUACGCAGGGCUAAGCGUAUCCAACAGGGAGUAGACUGUUUCGUGGUAGGGAGUCUGUAAAUGAUCAUCCACCUGGUCGAAAGCAUACCCUACCACCUACAAGAAAAAUUAAAUAAUCAGAUUUCAUCUUGGUACAGAAAGCAAAAAAAACACAAGUUUUUACAUGGGUCAUUCUCUAAUGACAUUAUGCAUUUCUCAAUUAAUAGUUAGAAUACACAUUUUAAAUAUCCAUACAACCUAUAAUAUUUAAGCAAUUUAUAAAAUAAGGAACAUCACCAGCAAAAUGCUCUCACCAGUUUUUUCUCAAAAUUUAAAAGGUUUGAUUUACCUACUCUUGAUCCUGAAAAUCAUGAGAAACGCCGGGCUGGAGAAGCACAAGUUGGAAUCAAGAUUGCCGGGAGAAAUAUCAAUAACCUCAGAUAUGCAGAUGACACCACCCUUAUGGCAGAAAAGUGAAGAGGGACUAACAUGCCUCUUGAUGAAAGUGAAAGUGGAGAGUGAAAAAGUUGGCUUAAAGCUCAACAAUCAGAAAACCAAGAUCAUGGCAUCUGGUCCCAUCACUUCAUGGCAAAUAGAUGGGGAAACAGUGGAAACAGUGUCAGACUAUGUUUUGGGCUCAAAAAUCACUGCAGAUGGUGAUUGCAGCCAUGAAAUUAAAAGAUACUUACUACUUGGAAGAAAAGUUCCGACCAGCCUAGAUAGCAUCUGCUGAGAAGAUAUCAUCAUUUGAGACUGUUUCUAUUUACUU
This 2261-nucleotide long non-coding RNA is filed under the name Ovis aries (sheep). Its description in RNAcentral is "lncRNA (ENSOARG00000026462.1)". Lineage: Eukaryota; Metazoa; Chordata; Mammalia; Artiodactyla; Bovidae. The record is from RNAcentral.